RNAcentral lists this ribosomal RNA (275 nucleotides) under uncultured Actinomycetales bacterium. RNAcentral describes it as "partial 16S ribosomal RNA". It matches the Rfam family "Bacterial small subunit ribosomal RNA", at positions 504 to 779 of the family's 1533-position model. Lineage: Bacteria; Bacillati; Actinomycetota; Actinomycetes; Actinomycetales. The record is from RNAcentral.
UGUGCCAGCCGCCGCGGUAAUACGUAGGGUGCAAGCGUUGUCCGGAAUUAUUGGGCGUAAAGAGCUCGUAGGCGGUUUGUCGCGUCUGCUGUGAAAUCCCGAGGCUCAACCUCGGGCUUGCAGUGGGUACGGGCAGACUAGAGUGCGGUAGGGGAGAUUGGAAUUCCUGGUGUAGCGGUGGAAUGCGCAGAUAUCAGGAGGACACCGAUGGCGAAGGCAGAUCUCUGGGCCGUAACUGACGCUGAGGAGCGAAAGCAUGGGGAGCGAACAGGAUU